This 705-nucleotide long non-coding RNA is filed under the name Brassica napus (rape). RNAcentral describes it as "long non-coding RNA (BNAP_LNC011634)". Lineage: Eukaryota; Viridiplantae; Streptophyta; Magnoliopsida; Brassicales; Brassicaceae. The record is from RNAcentral.
UGUUGCAAUCAUCCAACGUUCGGUGAUGCUCCGGUCCAGCAUUCAAAACAACAGCUAUUCCAAUAGGUAUUGCAGCCCUAUGUCUAUAAUUUAUUUGGUUUGAUGCGUUGCAUACUCGACCUUUUUGAUCUCCUAGAACUACUUUUCCAUUAAUGAAAUAGGUAAGAACAUACUUACCUGCUUCCGGCAGGAUGGCGUUGAUCGAUAUUGGUAGCAGAGUGUUGAUCGAUUCAUCUGUCGACCCGUCACUCGAUGUUGUUGUCUGAGUGUCGAUCGAUGCUAGGCCGAAUUCCGUGUUCUUCAUCUUAAGUACCUGUCAGCAGGGAAAGAUGAAAAACUUUUUAGCAAAUACAAUAAUAAAAUCUAGACUAUAUCCUAAACUUAAUCUAAUGGUAAAAGAAAGAGUCCCCGGAAACGGCGCCAAAUUUGAUAUCAAUCAAAUUACCCUAAGGAGUGAAUUACUCUCUCAAAUAAGAGGUUCAGAUGUAGUACUUAGGUAUCGAAUCCACGGAGACUCUAGGAUUACACAGUAGAUUUACAGUCUUCGAAAUAAAGCUAGGUUAACAGGUUUUAAGCAGUAAAUGAAGUGGUGAACAAGGUAGUUGUUCGAUUUGUUUGAUUUGAGGUUGUUAACAGUUGGGAAAAUAGCUAGAUUCAGGUAUUAUCUCAGUAUGAUAAGUAGGUAACUUCUUUGGGUUAUUAGCG